AGUGAACGCUGGCGGUAGGCCUAACACAUGCAAGUCGAACGGCAGCACAGUAAGAGCUUGCUCUUACGGGUGGCGAGUGGCGGACGGGUGAGGAAUACAUCGGAAUCUACUUUUUCGUGGGGGAUAACGUAGGGAAACUUACGCUAAUACCGCAUACGACCUACGGGUGAAAGCAGGGGAUCUUCGGACCUUGCGCGAUUGAAUGAGCCGAUGUCGGAUUAGCUAGUUGGCGGGGUAAAGGCCCACCAAGGCGACGAUCCGUAGCUGGUCUGAGAGGAUGAACCAGCAAACUGGAACUGAGAAACGGUCCAGACUCCUACGGGAGGCAGCAGUGGGGAAUAAUGGACAAAGGGCGCAAGCCUGAUCCAGACAUACCGCGUGGGUGAAGAAGGCCUUCGGGUUGUAAAGCCCUUUUGUUGGGAAAGAAAAGCAGCAGGUUAAUACCCCGCUGUUCUGACGGUACCCAAAGAAUAAGCACCGGCUAACUUCGUG
RNAcentral lists this ribosomal RNA (492 nucleotides) under uncultured bacterium. Its description in RNAcentral is "partial 16S ribosomal RNA". It matches the Rfam family "Bacterial small subunit ribosomal RNA", at positions 29 to 507 of the family's 1533-position model. The record is from RNAcentral.